RNAcentral lists this ribosomal RNA (341 nucleotides) under uncultured eukaryote. Its description in RNAcentral is "LSU rRNA". It matches the Rfam family "Bacterial large subunit ribosomal RNA", at positions 2139 to 2479 of the family's 2925-position model. The record is from RNAcentral.
CAGGAUAGGUGGGAGGCAGUGAAAAUAGUCUUGCGGGAUUAUUAGAGCCAACGGUGAGAUACCACUCUAGUAAAGAUAAAAUUCUAACUCUAUACCGUUAUCCGGAUAGAGAACAGUUUCAAGUGGGCAGCUUGACUGGGGCGGUCGCCUCCUAAAAGGUAACGGAGGCGUGCAAAGGUUCCCUCAGGCUGGUUGGACAUCGGUCGAAGAGUGUAAAGGCAUAAGGGAGCUUGACUGCGAGACCCACAAGUCGAGCAGAGACGAAAGUCGGCCUUAGUGAUCCGACGGUUCCGAGUGGAAGGGCCGUCGCUCAACGGAUAAAAGUUACUCUAGGGAUAACA